GAUGAACGCUGGCGGCGUGCCUAAUACAUGCAAGUCGAACGGAGGAUGUAGCAAUAUAUCCUUAGUGGCGAACGGGUGAGUAACGCGUUGGUGACCUGCCCCGAAGCGGGGGAUAACAGUUCGAAAGGAUUGCUAAUACCCCAUAUUGUCAGUAGGAUUAGAUGCCUGCUGUCUAAAGGAGUAAUUCGCUUUGGGAGGGACCUACGUCCCAUCAGCUAGUUGGUAGGGUAACGGCUUACCAAGGCUACGACGGGUAGGGGACCUGAGAGGGUGGCCCCCCACAAUGGAACUGAAACACGGUCCAUACACCUACGGGUGGCUG
RNAcentral lists this ribosomal RNA (322 nucleotides) under uncultured Chloroflexota bacterium. RNAcentral describes it as "bacterial SSU rRNA". It matches the Rfam family "Bacterial small subunit ribosomal RNA", at positions 28 to 351 of the family's 1533-position model. The record is from RNAcentral. Lineage: Bacteria; Bacillati; Chloroflexota.